This is a long non-coding RNA of Octopus sinensis (East Asian common octopus), 111 nucleotides long. RefSeq lists it as uncharacterized. The record is from RefSeq and is a predicted model, not a curated record. Lineage: Eukaryota; Metazoa; Mollusca; Cephalopoda; Octopoda; Octopodidae. The transcript has 3 exons.
UUAUUAUUAUUAUUAUUAUUAUUAUGUGAAAAACUCACAGCUUAUUUUGCUGGUUAUGAUGGAAAGUAUCAGCUGAGCACAGCCAGUAGACUAAGGUGACACUUGUUUACU